This is a long non-coding RNA of Formica exsecta, 1227 nucleotides long. RefSeq lists it as uncharacterized. The transcript is spliced from 3 exons. The record is from RefSeq and is a predicted model, not a curated record. Lineage: Eukaryota; Metazoa; Arthropoda; Insecta; Hymenoptera; Formicidae.
UGUGAUUUAAUUAAAAUACUUUUUGUUAUAAUUAGCUUAAUCUUUAGUAGCUUAAGAAUCCUUAGAUGGAAAGUGAUUCGAAUUGAAAAUAAUUAAGAAGAUCAUCUAAUGUCAAUAAUAGCACAAAGCAGAAACUACUUUAAAUAGUGACUCAUAAUGAGCUAAAAAAAGCAUAACCAGAUGUUCGCGGAGGUCAUUCGGGAUCAUCAGGUGCAUACAUCGAAGAACACGAGUUUAUUAUAAUAAAGAUAUUUACGCGGUAAAUAUGCUUGAUGAUCUAUUCUUUGCGAAGACGUGGAUGAAUCGACAUCUAUGUUAUAUUUAUUUACAAAUUAAAUCUGAGAAGAAAAAAUCCAUCUCAAAUUUCACUCGGAGUGUGAAGUGUGUCAGUGAUAACUUACAAUCAUCAAUCGGAAAAAAUGUUCGUAAAUAUCGAAAAGAAAACAAAAUGAAAAGGUUCAAUUAGAAGUAUUUGAAAAUUUCUCUGCGCAAAGUUUAUACUGUUAUUGUGUAUAUCAAGGAAAGCAUUACAAAAUGGAGCUACAGGAAAAAUCCGCCUUUGCUCAGAAAAACCUGAUUUACGACACCAUCCCUCUUAUUAUUAUCGAGAAAAUGGAGAGGAAACAUUUCAAAGAUAAUAGAGAAACUCCAAAGUAUUAUCACGUUUCUAGUCCAUUUUGUAUGAAAUUCCGUUUAUUAUUAUUUUGGACAUUGUGGUUUGUAUUGAUUAUGGCGAUGAUGCUCUGUAUUCUCACAUAUUUUUGUUUCAUACCUCGAAUGUGUUAUAGUUCAAACAUACACAGAAACACAAACGGAUGAGUAAGUAUCCAAAAUUGAAACUCAUCAAAUAUACAGAAUGUUCAAAAAUUUAUGGUAUAAACUUUAUGUGUAGGUUAGGCCUUCUCGUUUAUUUUAACGAUUGUAUGCGUGCAAAGUUUAUAACCACAAAUUUUAGAACAUGUUUUUUCUCUCUGUAAAAAAUAUACAAUUUUAUAAAAUCCCAGAUUCUGUUAUCCAGUUAUUAGUUUUUAUCAAAGAACAAAUUUUUGUGGAAUUUAAUUAAUUUUGUCAAUAUUUAAGUAAUUUGCUCGUAUUCAAUGAAAUUGAUAAUCUAUUGAUUUAUAAUAUCGCUCCAAUAUACCUCUCGUCCAAUAUUUAACUAUUUUUAAAUAAAACAAUAAUAUCCUAUUAUAUUUUAAAUAUAUUAAUGUAUGUUUUAAAUGUGUA